UCAACUCAUGUACCUCAACUUGAGUUGACCAACAAUUAAAGAAGACGACCUGCUCCAACUGCUGAUCUACUGGUUGUUACAGAUUGUGGAAAAGCAUCACCAGCAGCACUGGACCAAUCAGGAAAGAGAAGACACAGAGGACUGAAGGGACUCAGAAAAUCCUGCUGGAAAUCCCAAGAUGAAGUUUCCUGAUGCAACAAGGGGACACCUGAGGACACAGAAUAAAGAAGGACCAUGUGAAGCAGAUGAUGGUGAAGGUUGAGGAGAUAAUGACUUGAUCAGAAACUGUGGACGACAACUGCAAACGCUCAGCAAACAGCAAAACGAGCUGCAAACAGACUCAUGAAGAGGACGGUCAGAGUCGUCCAUAGCUUUCUUGACUCUUCUGAAGAGUCUUUCUUUGCGUCAUCUCCAGAGGUUCCACAGUCAUCUCCAGAACAGAACCAGAACCAAUCCAGCCUUCUUUAUCAGAUUGUUGAGCCUUUUGAGGUUCCUGGCUCUGAUGCUGCUGCACCAACAGAUGAUAGCAGAAGAGAUGACACUCUCAGCAGCAGACUUAAAGAUCUGCAGCAACUUGCUGCAAACCUUGAAGGAUCUUAGCUUCCUGGAGAAGUGCAGUCUGCUCUGUCUCUUUUUGUAGACGGCUUGUCCACGUGGUUCCUGCCUUCUGUUGUGUCUCCAGUCCAGUCUGUGUUCCAGAUGAACACCGAGUCAAGAUUAGAUGAUUGUUCCCUCACCAGGCCACAAAGUGAUCCACCAGAUAUCUGUACUCAGCCUCUUGUCUUCCUCUGAUACACAACAACUGCAGAGUCGUCUGAGUAUUUCUGUAGAUGACAGAAGUCGGACUUGUGCUGGAAGUCUGAACAAUAGAGGGUGAAAAUGAACGGUGAGAGUACAGUGCCCUGUGGUGUUCCCAUGUUGUUGAGCACCUGGUUAGACUCACAGUCCUUCAGUCUCACUAACUGUGGUCUGUUUGUCAGGUAGUCACAGAUGCAGGUGAUUGUUGAGGCCUCCACCUGUGUCUUCUGGAGUUUCUAACAGAGCAGAUCAGGCUGAUUUGUGUUCAAUGCACCUGGGAACCAAAGACCCUGAUCCUCACUGUGCUGCCUGCUUUGUCCAGAUGACAGUGGGUUUGUUGAAGCAGGUGUCUGAUCAACUCCAACUCCACGGCGAUAAGCAAACUGCAGGGGGUCCUGAUAUGUGAUCGUCUGCUUACUCAAGUGGGCCACCAGGAGUCUCUCCAGGACCUUCAGGAUGUGGGACGUCAGGGCAACAGAUCUACAGGCCUUAUGACUGAUGGGUGACUUUUCUUCGGUACCGGAACCAGACAGGAUGUCUUCCACAACAACGGAACCUCCUCUUGGGUCAGGCAAAGGUUGAAGAGAUGCUGCAGAAUCCCACAGAGGGAAUCUGGGACUGACAGCAUCUGGACCUGCAGCCUCGUUCCUGUUCAGUCUCUCCGGCUGCUUCUUCACCUGACUUCUAGAUACAGAAAAGUUGGAGGUGGAGGCAAAGGGAGCAGCAGCGUCUCCUGAUGUGGUUAAAGACAAACUUGUGGAAGCAGAAGAGUCCAUGACUGAGGUGGAAUAUGGAACAUCUGAGGUUUGACAGGAAAGCUGUGGGUCAGAGGAGGAUGAGAAAUCUGUCUGGCUGCAGACAGGAGAGGAAGAUGAUGAGCUUGUUCCUGGACUGAACCUGUUGAAGAAUGUGUUCAGCUCAUUUCCUCUGUCCAGAAACUAAUAUUGUUAAAAAAAAGUCAUGGUAGCAUGUUUUUAUGUAAUAAUGUGUAUGUAAUGUUUGGAACGAAGAAGAUAUGCUGCAUAAUCUGAUGGAAUUACAGAAGAUCAUUGUGGC
Xiphophorus maculatus (southern platyfish) is the source of this 1854-nucleotide long non-coding RNA. RefSeq lists it as uncharacterized. Lineage: Eukaryota; Metazoa; Chordata; Actinopteri; Cyprinodontiformes; Poeciliidae. The transcript is spliced from 5 exons. The record is from RefSeq and is a predicted model, not a curated record.